RNAcentral lists this ribosomal RNA (301 nucleotides) under uncultured bacterium. RNAcentral describes it as "partial 16S ribosomal RNA". It matches the Rfam family "Bacterial small subunit ribosomal RNA", at positions 509 to 807 of the family's 1533-position model. The record is from RNAcentral.
CAGUCGCCGCGGUAAUACGUAGGGUGCAAGCGUUGUCCGGAAUCAUUGGGCGUAAAGCGCGCGUAGGUGGCCAUUUAAGUCCGCUGUGAAAGUCAAAGGCUCAACCUUUGAAAACCGGUGGAUACUGGAUGGCUAGAGUACGGAAGAGGCGAGUGGAAUUCCUGGUGUAGCGGUGGAAUGCGCAGAUAUCAGGAGGAACACCAAUAGCGAAGGCAGCUCGCUGGGACGUUACUGACGCUGAGGCACGAAAGCGUGGGGAGCAAACAGGAUUAGAUACCCGCGUAGUCCCUGUCUCUUAUAC